GACGAACGCUGGCGGCGUGCUUAACACAUGCAAGUAGAACGCAAAGGCACUGCCUUUGUGGGGUGCUCGAGUGGCGAACGGGUGAGUAACACGUGAGUAACCUGCCCUUUACCUGGGGAUAACUUCUGGAAACUGGAGCUAAUACCGCAUAAGAGCACCUGCUGCAUGGUAGUGGCUGGAAAGUUUCGGCGGCUUGGGUAGUACGCGCGGCUUCUUUGCUUGUUGGUGGGGUAGUGGUUUACCAAGGCGUGGACGGGUAGCCGGACUGAGAGUGUGACCGGGCACAGUGGGACACGGGAGGGACCCGGACGGCUACUGGAGGCAGGAGUGGGGGUUAGAGCGCGAUGGGCGGAGUGAGUGAGCAGGAACGCCGGGUGCGAGAGGACGGUUGUAGGGGUGGAAAGAGUGUGCGAGUGGAAAGAAGAGAGAGUGACGGUAAUUUGUAAGGAAGCACCGGCUAACUACGUG
Molecule: ribosomal RNA, 468 nt
Filed under: uncultured bacterium
Lineage: Bacteria
Description: partial 16S ribosomal RNA
Rfam family: Bacterial small subunit ribosomal RNA
Source: RNAcentral